AUAUCAAUAAGCGGAGGAAAAGAAACUAACAAGGAUUCCCCUAGUAACGGCGAGUGAAGCGGGAACAGCUCAAAUUUGAAAUCUCCAACUUUCAGUUGGCGAGUUGUAGUUUAGAGAAGCGUUUUCCGAAGCAGCUUGGGUAUAAGUCCCUUGGAAAAGGGCAUCAUAGAGGGUGAGAAUCCCGUUUAUGAUCCAAGUACUGUUUCUCUGUGAUACGCUUUCAAAGAGUCGGGUUGUUUGGGAAUGCAGCCCAAAUUGGGUGGUAAAUGUCAUCCAAAGCUAAAUAUUGGCGAGAGACCGAUAGCGCACAAGUA
RNAcentral lists this ribosomal RNA (314 nucleotides) under uncultured Chytridiomycetes. RNAcentral describes it as "partial large subunit ribosomal RNA". It matches the Rfam family "Eukaryotic large subunit ribosomal RNA", at positions 40 to 350 of the family's 3401-position model. The record is from RNAcentral. Lineage: Eukaryota; Fungi; Chytridiomycota; Chytridiomycetes.